UGCAUGGCUGUCGUCAGCUCGUGUCGUGAGAUGUUGGGUUAAGUCCGUAACCGAGCGCAACCCUUGUCCUUAGUUACCAGCACGUUAUGGUGGGCGACUCUAAGGAGACUGCCGGUGACAAACCGGAGGAAGGUGGGGAGUGACGUCAAGUCAUCAUGGCCCUUACGGCCUGGGCUACACACGUGCUACAAUGGUCGGUACAAAGGGUUGCCAAGCCGCGAGGUGGAGCUAAUCCCAUAAAACCGAUCGUAGUCCGGAUCGCAGUCUGCAACUCGACUGCGUGAAGUCGGAAUCGCUAGUAAUCGUGAAUCAGAAUGUCACGGUGAAUACGUUCCCGGGCCUU
Molecule: ribosomal RNA, 343 nt
Filed under: uncultured Pseudomonas sp.
Lineage: Bacteria; Pseudomonadati; Pseudomonadota; Gammaproteobacteria; Pseudomonadales; Pseudomonadaceae
Description: bacterial SSU rRNA
Rfam family: Bacterial small subunit ribosomal RNA
Source: RNAcentral